GGGAACAGGUCUUGGCCUCUCCUCGGGGAGGGGCACGAAGAAUAGGAGGGAGCGGAGGUCGUGUGGCGGCGGUCAGCUGCGGGAGCGGCCACUCUGAGGUGGCGGCGGGCAGAGCAAGAUGAGAAGAGAUAAAAAAGUAAGGAGGGACCGGAGAGAAAGAAGAGACCUGUACCGGCACCUCAAGGUUGGGGCGGCGCAGUACCUACGGGACGCGGCGGGAGCAACCUUGGGGAGGUUGGUGCGGGCCUAGGCCGUGGCGCGACUGGCCUAGGCAGCUAAGAGCCACGGGUGCAGCGGGCGGCGGGUAGAGACCUCGGGGCGUUCAGGACGGCGUUAGCCGGAGGACGAGCACGCUCGUGAGCUCGUCUCUCUGCUUUCAGUCACGGGCGAGCCCAGCGCAACUGGCGACCGGUCGAGCGCACCCGGGGUAGAGGUAGCUGGCGCGGUCAGGUGGAGAAGCGGUCGGGUGGAGCUGAAAUCGGACCGUCGGGCAGACGGGGCUGACCGGAGUUCCGGGUUAAACACCAGAAGAACUAUCAAGGGAUAUUCCUACGCUAACACUCCUAAGCAAGCUGAUGCGAGCAAGCAGAAGAAGUACCUAAGCCAGAAGAAGGAUUGCCCUAAAGUCCGUACUUUCUUGUCCUAUACUACUUCUUAUGAAGCACUGCUUGUACGCUCGAUCCUGCGAAGGGUCAGUCUUACGGACAUCCAAUUCCGUCUACCGUACCCAGGUUCAAUAGCUGCUUCUAAAGGCGACGCUACAAUAUGAGUUCUGAACUGGUAUUACCAGGAUGAACACAUUAUGCCAUACAUACCUACAUUCUGAGAACAAUAAGUCG
Molecule: ribosomal RNA, 839 nt
Filed under: Triticum aestivum (bread wheat)
Lineage: Eukaryota; Viridiplantae; Streptophyta; Magnoliopsida; Poales; Poaceae
Description: partial small subunit ribosomal RNA
Source: RNAcentral